This 73-nucleotide transfer RNA is filed under the name Candidatus Woesearchaeota archaeon. Its description in RNAcentral is "tRNA-Pro". It matches the Rfam family "tRNA". Rfam says of the family: Transfer RNA (tRNA) molecules are approximately 80 nucleotides in length. Their secondary structure includes four short double-helical elements and three loops (D, anti-codon, and T loops). Lineage: Archaea; Nanobdellati; Candidatus Woesearchaeota. The record is from RNAcentral.
GGGGCUGUGGGGUAGAUUGGUAUCCUUCACGGAUGGGGUCCGUGCGACCCGGGUUCAAAUCCUGGCAGCCCCA